Molecule: ribosomal RNA, 253 nt
Filed under: uncultured bacterium
Lineage: Bacteria
Description: partial 16S ribosomal RNA
Rfam family: Bacterial small subunit ribosomal RNA
Source: RNAcentral
UACAGAGGGUGCAAGCGUUAAUCGGAAUUACUGGGCGUAAAGCGUGCGUAGACGGUUGCGUAAGUCAGAUGUGAAAGCCCCGGGCUCAACCUGGGAAUUGCAUUUGAGACUGCGUAGCUAGGGUGCGGAAGAGGGAAGCGGAAUUUCCGGUGUAGCGGUGAAAUGCGUAGAUAUCGGGAAGAACACCCGUGGCGAAGGCGGUUCUCUGGGACGGUACUGACGCUGAGACGCGAAAGCGUGGGGAGCGAACAGG